This 257-nucleotide ribosomal RNA is filed under the name uncultured bacterium. RNAcentral's name for it is "partial 16S ribosomal RNA". It matches the Rfam family "Bacterial small subunit ribosomal RNA", at positions 523 to 776 of the family's 1533-position model. The record is from RNAcentral.
UAGCGGAGGGGGCUAGCGUUGUUCGGAAGUUACUGGGACGUAAAGCGCACGUAGGCUGGCUUUGUAAGUUAGAGGUGAAAGCCCGGGGCUCAACUCCGGAAUUGCCUUUAAGACUGCAUCGCUAGAAUUGUGGAGAGGUAAGUGGAAUUCCGAGUGUAGAGGUGAAAUUCGUAGAUAUUCGGAAGAACACCAGUGGCGAAGGCGACUUACUGGACACAUAUUGACGCUGAGGUGCGAAAGCGUGGGGAGCAAACAGG